AACGAACGCUGGCGGCAUGCCUAAUACAUGCCAGUUGAGCGCCGACGGAGGGUGCUUGUGCCCACUGGAUGAGCGGCUGACGGGUGAGUAACGCGUGGGGAAUCUGCCAUUGAGCGGGGGACGACAUUUGGAAACGAAUGCUACUACCGCAUAAUAACUUUAAACACAAGUUUUAAGUUUGAAAGAUGCAAUUGCAUCACUCAAAGAUGAUUCCGCGUUGUAUUAGUUAGUUGGUGAGGUAAAGGCCCACCAAGGCGAUGAUACAUAGCCGACCUGGGAGGGUGAUUGGCCACCUUGGGAAUGAGACACGGCCCAAACCCCUUCGGGAGGCAGCAGUAGGGAAUUUUUGGCAAAGGACGGAAGUCUGACCGAGCCACGACGCGGUAGUGAAGAAGGGUUUCGGAUUGUAAAACUCUGUUUGUAGAGAAGAACGUCGGUGAGAGUGGAAAGCUCAUGAAGUGACGGUAACUACCCAGUAAGCAACGGCUAACUACGUG
Molecule: ribosomal RNA, 497 nt
Filed under: uncultured bacterium
Lineage: Bacteria
Description: partial 16S ribosomal RNA
Rfam family: Bacterial small subunit ribosomal RNA
Source: RNAcentral